Molecule: ribosomal RNA, 1055 nt
Filed under: Vreelandella venusta
Lineage: Bacteria; Pseudomonadati; Pseudomonadota; Gammaproteobacteria; Oceanospirillales; Halomonadaceae
Description: bacterial SSU rRNA
Rfam family: Bacterial small subunit ribosomal RNA
Source: RNAcentral
AAGUCGAGCGGUAACAGAGGUAGCUUGCUACCCGCUGACGAGCGGCGGACGGGUGAGUAAUGCAUAGGAAUCUGCCCGNUAGUGGAGGAUAACCUGGGGAAACCCAGGCUAAUACCGCAUACGUCCUACGGGAGAAAGGAGGCUUCGGCUCCCGCUAUUGGAUGAGCCUAUGUCGGAUUAGCUAGUUGGUGAGGUAAAGGCUCACCAAGGCGACGAUCCGUAGCUGGUCUGAGAGGAUGAUCAGCCACAUCGGGACUGAGACACGGCCCGAACUCCUACGGGAGGCAGCAGUGGGGAAUAUUGGACAAUGGGCGAAAGCCUGAUCCAGCCAUGCCGCGUGUGUGAAGAAGGCCCUCGGGUUGUAAAGCACUGACAGCGAGGAAGAACGCCUAGUGGUUAAUACCCAUUAGGAAAGACAUCACUCGCAGAAGAAGCACCGGCUAACUCCGUGCCAGCAGCCGCGGUAAUACGGAGGGUGCAAGCGUUAAUCGGAAUUACUGGGCGUAAAGCGCGCGUAGGUGGCUUGAUAAGCCGGUUGUGAAAGCCCCGGGCUCAACCUGGGAACGGCAUCCGGAACUGUCAAGCUAGAGUGCAGGAGAGGAAGGUAGAAUUCCCGGUGUAGCGGUGAAAUGCGUAGAGAUCGGGAGGAAUACCAGUGGCGAAGGCGGCCGUCUGGACUGACACUGACACUGAGGUGCGAAAGCGUGGGUAGCAAACAGGAUUAGAUACCCUGGUAGUCCACGCCGUAAACGAUGUCGACCAGCCGUUGGGUGCCUAGCGCACUUUGUGGCGAAGUUAACGCGAUAAGUCGACCGCCUGGGGAGUACGGCCGCAAGGUUAAAACUCAAAUGAAUUGACGGGGGCCCGCACAAGCGGUGGAGCAUGUGGUGUAAUUCGAUGCAACGCGAAGAACCUUACCUACUCUUGACAUCCUGCGAACUAGUGAGAGAUCACUUGGUGCCUUCGAGAACGCAGAGACAGGUGCUGCAUGGCUGUCGUCAGCUCGUGAUGUGAGAUGUUGGGUUAAGUGACGUAGCGAGCGCAACCCUUGUCCU